AUUGAAUGCUGGCGGCAUGCCUUACACAUGCAAGUCGAACGGCAGCGGACCUUCGGGUGCCGGCGAGUGGCGAACGGGUGAGUAAUAUAUCGGAACGUACCUUUCAGUGGGGGAUAACGUAGCGAAAGUUACGCUAAUACCGCAUAUUCUGUGAGCAGGAAAGCAGGGGAUCGCAAGACCUUGCGCUGAUUGAGCGGCCGAUAUCAGAUUAGCUAGUUGGUGAGGUAAAGGCUCACCAAGGCGACGAUCUGUAGCGGGUCUGAGAGGAUGAUCCGCCACACUGGAACUGAGACACGGUCCAGACUCCUACGGGAGGCAGCAGUGGGGAAUUUUGGACAAUGGGCGCAAGCCUGAUCCAGCCAUGCCGCGUGAGUGAAGAAGGCCUCGG
This 388-nucleotide ribosomal RNA is filed under the name uncultured bacterium. RNAcentral's name for it is "bacterial SSU rRNA". It matches the Rfam family "Bacterial small subunit ribosomal RNA", at positions 30 to 420 of the family's 1533-position model. The record is from RNAcentral.